This 497-nucleotide ribosomal RNA is filed under the name uncultured bacterium. Its description in RNAcentral is "partial 16S ribosomal RNA". It matches the Rfam family "Bacterial small subunit ribosomal RNA", at positions 28 to 507 of the family's 1533-position model. The record is from RNAcentral.
GAUGAACGCUGGCGGCGUGCCUAAUACAUGCAAGUCGAGCGAACAGACGAGGAGCUUGCUCCUCUGACGUUAGCGGCGGACGGGUGAGUAACACGUGGAUAACCUACCUAUAAGACUGGGAUAACUUCGGGAAACCGGAGCUAAUACCGGAUAAUAUAUUCAACCGCAUGGUUCAAUAGUGAAAGACGGUUUUGCUGUCACUUAUAGAUGGAUCCGCGCCGCAUUAGCUAGUUGGUAAGGUAACGGCUUACCAAGGCAACGAUGCGUAGCCGACCUGAGAGGGUGAUCGGCCACCCUGGAACUGAGACAAGGUCCAGACUCCUACGGCAGGCAGCAGCAGGGAAUCUUCCGCCAUGGGCGAAAGCCUGACGGAGCAACGCCGCGUGAGUGAUGAAGGUCUUCGGAUCGUAAAACUCUGUUAUUAGGGAAGAACAAAUGUGUAAGUAACUAUGCACGUCUUGACGGUCCCUAAUCAGAAAGCCACGGCUAACUACGUG